Molecule: long non-coding RNA, 424 nt
Organism: Bubalus bubalis (water buffalo)
Lineage: Eukaryota; Metazoa; Chordata; Mammalia; Artiodactyla; Bovidae
Exons: 2
Source: RefSeq, a predicted model, not a curated record
CAGUCGUGUCCAACUCUUCGCGACCCCAUGGACUGCAGCCUACCAGGCUCCUCCGUCCAUGGGAUUUUCUAGGCAAAAGUACUGGAGUGGGGUGCCAUUGCCUUCUCUGCAAAUCUUCACUAGCCUUCUGCAGACUUAGUGCCCUGCUGUGUGGUAUGGAGGAUCUUAUUUUCCCAAUCAGGGAUUGAAUCUGCACCUCCUGCAGUGGAAAUGCAGAAUCUUAACCAAUGGACCACCAAGUAAUACAUUUUUAAUGAAAGGAAUACUGAAACUGUCAACUGGUAAAACUCAUUCUUCCUAACUAAUGGAGAACUAGAGUUGAGGGAAAUAAUAAGGUCUGGUGAGUUGCCUUAAACCACUCUUCUGGAACUGCUAAUCUAUACCAGCAAUUUUGCAUUAAGGCAUAACAAGAUAUAAAAGGGAA